UGGGGAAUUUUGCACAAUGGGGGAAUCCCUGAUGCAGCGACGCCGCGUGAUUUAGAAGGCCUUCGGGUUGUAAAAAUCUUUUCUAUGGGAAGAAAAUGACAGUACCAUAGGAAUAAGGACCGGCUAAUUACGUGCCAGCAGCCGCGGUAAUACGUAAGGUCCGAGCGUUGUCCGGAAUCAUUGGGCGUAAAGGGUACGUAGGCGGGUAAGCAAGUUUGAAGUGAAAUCCUAUAGCUCAACUAUAGUAAGCUUUUAAAACUGCUCAUCUUGAGGUAUGGAAGGGAAAGUGGAAUUCCUAGUGUAGCGGUGAAAUGCGCAGAUAUUAGGAGGAAUACCGGUGGCGAAGGCGACUUUCUGGCCAUAACCUGACGCUGAGGUACGAAAGCGUGGGUAGCAAACAGG
RNAcentral lists this ribosomal RNA (402 nucleotides) under bacterium. Its description in RNAcentral is "partial 16S ribosomal RNA". It matches the Rfam family "Bacterial small subunit ribosomal RNA", at positions 355 to 776 of the family's 1533-position model. The record is from RNAcentral.